CCUACGGGGGGCAGCAGUGGGGGAUAUUGCACAAUGGGGGGAACCCUGAUGCAGCGACGCCGCGUGGGUGAAGGAGGGUUUCGGCGCGUAAAGCCCUAUCGGCAGGGAAGAAGGAGGACGGUACCUGACGAAGAAGCCCCGGCGAACGACGGGCCAGCAGCCGCGGUAAUACGUAGGGGGCAAGCGUUAUCCGGAUUUACUGGGUGUAAAGGGGGCGCAGACGGCAGCGCAAGCCAGGAGUGAAAGCCCGGGGCCCAACCCCGGGACUGCUCUUGGAACUGGGCGGCUGGAGUGCAGGAGGGGCAGGCGGAAUUCCUGGUGUAGCGGUGAAAUGCGUAGAUAUCAGGAGGAACACCGGUGGCGAAGGCGGCCUGCUGGACUGCGACUGACGUUGAGGCCCGAAAGCGUGGGGAGCAAACAGGAUUAGAUACCCUGGUAGUC
Molecule: ribosomal RNA, 441 nt
Filed under: uncultured bacterium
Lineage: Bacteria
Description: partial 16S ribosomal RNA
Rfam family: Bacterial small subunit ribosomal RNA
Source: RNAcentral